Paramisgurnus dabryanus is the source of this 806-nucleotide long non-coding RNA. RefSeq lists it as uncharacterized. The record is from RefSeq and is a predicted model, not a curated record. Lineage: Eukaryota; Metazoa; Chordata; Actinopteri; Cypriniformes; Cobitidae.
AGAUAUCAUAUAGAAGACUAGAUGCCCUAUUGGCCGCUGGGGACUGAGAAAUACGGCGGCCAUCUUAAACCGGUCGUUCUCCUAGUUUCGUUGCAUGGCAGCAGAUAAGAUGUCAGAGCACUGUGGAGCAUUUUCCUGUUCUAAUCGGCGGACGAUCGCAAAUAGAGCCCGGAGGAUUAUUUUCACAAGUACUUUUUAACAUCGCGGUACUAUUGGUUGUAUUUUGUGAAUAGAAUAUUUACAGAAAAUUGAGAAAGAGCCAGCUUAUUGAUUUUACUGUACUGAAAUCGUAGCCAGCUAACGUUCGCUAGGCUAUGUUAACUGCACCAGCCGCUGUUCACCCUGCAAGGAGAGUGGGGUGCUGUGAGCUGCGUGAUCCGCCGAGCUUUAAAAAGCUGAGAUGUCAACAGGAACAGAGGAUGUUUUCCUUCGUAGGGAGGACAUUGAGGAGACUCGGUUUGGAAUCGACAACUAUCAGUCUGACUCGUUGUCACUGGUUGUGUCUGUGUUUUUAAAGAUAAGGCCCCACCAUGUUGCCAAACUCACCUCUCUUGAACUACAGAAAGGGAGCACGGGAAAGAAGUUCUGGAAAACAGUCCUCUUUCAGGGGUGUGUGUGUGUGUGUGUGUGUGUGUGUGUGUGUGUGUGUGUGUGUGGGUGCGUGUGUGUGUGUGGGGGGGUUUACAAAUCAUUUUAAAUUGUUUCUUCACCAUAUUAAAAAGUCUUAUUUUAUUGCAACUAUCUGUUUCUGCAUCUUUGUCAUAUUUAUAGUGUGUGAUUUAUAAAAUAUCUUAUGUCCUACACCA